This 253-nucleotide ribosomal RNA is filed under the name uncultured bacterium. RNAcentral describes it as "partial 16S ribosomal RNA". It matches the Rfam family "Bacterial small subunit ribosomal RNA", at positions 524 to 776 of the family's 1533-position model. The record is from RNAcentral.
UACGUAGGGGGCAAGCGUUGUCCGGAAUCAUUGGGCGUAAAGAGCGUGUAGGCGGCUCGAUAAGUCUGCUGUGAAAGUCCAGGGCUCAACCCUGGAAGGCCGGUGGAAACUGGCGGGCUAGAGUCCGGAAGAGGCGAGUGGAAUUCCCGGUGUAGCGGUGAAAUGCGCAGAUAUCGGGAGGAACACCAAUGGCGAAGGCAGCUCGCUGGGACGGUACUGACGCUGAGACGCGAAAGCGUGGGGAGCAAACAGG